Molecule: ribosomal RNA, 402 nt
Filed under: uncultured bacterium
Lineage: Bacteria
Description: bacterial SSU rRNA
Rfam family: Bacterial small subunit ribosomal RNA
Source: RNAcentral
UCGGGAAUUUUGGGCAAUGGGCGAAAGCCUGACCCAGCAACGCCGCGUGAGGGAUGAAGUAUUUCGGUAUGUAAACCUCGAAAGAAUGGGAAGAAUAAAUGACGGUACCAUUUAUAAGCUCCGGCUAACUACGUGCCAGCAGCCGCGGUAAUACGUAGGGAGCAAGCGUUGUUCGGAUUUACUGGGCGUAAAGGGCGCGUAGGCGGCGCGGUAAGUCACUUGUGAAAUCUCUGAGCUUAACUCAGAACGGCCAAGUGAUACUGCUGUGCUAGAGUGCGGAAGAGGCAACCGGAAUUCUUGGUGUAGCGGUGAAAUGCGUAGAUAUCAAGAGGAACACCUGAGGCGAAGGCGGGUUACUGGGCCGACACUGACGCUGAUGCGCGAAAGCCAGGGGAGCAAACG